RNAcentral lists this ribosomal RNA (253 nucleotides) under uncultured bacterium. RNAcentral's name for it is "partial 16S ribosomal RNA". It matches the Rfam family "Bacterial small subunit ribosomal RNA", at positions 524 to 776 of the family's 1533-position model. The record is from RNAcentral.
UACGUAGGGACCAAGCGUUGUUCGGAUUUACUGGGCGUAAAGGGCGCGUAGGCGGCGUGUCAAGUCAAUUGUGAAAUCUCCGAGCUUAACUCGGAACGGUCAAUUGAUACUGAUGUGCUAGAGUGCAGAAGGGGCAAUCGGAAUUCUUGGUGUAGCGGUGAAAUGCGCAGAUAUCAGGAGGAACACCGGUGGCGAAGGCGGUUCUCUGGGCAUGUCCUGACGCUGAGGAGCGAAAGUGUGGGGAGCGAACAGG